This is a non-coding RNA of Pelodiscus sinensis (Chinese soft-shelled turtle), 826 nucleotides long. The record is from RefSeq and is a predicted model, not a curated record. NCBI's taxonomy places the organism in Eukaryota, Metazoa, Chordata, Testudines, Trionychidae.
AGUGCGCAGGCGCCUCAGCGGGACCGAACGCGGGAUGGCUGCGCAUGCGCCUCCUGGAGGCGGAGCGCAUGGGGAAUGCGCAGGCGCCUUGAGACUCAACUCUUGGUCCCUUGGGGAGGGCGGGAUUCCAGUCCACGCCCCGCUCUUAGCAGCGCAGGCGGCGCUCACUUGGGGCAGCUCUGCAGCAGGAGCAGACACCUGCUGCUACUUCACCGCCAUGGACCGCAUCCUGGAGGAGCCGCCACACCAGCAGGACCCCCGAGCAGUCCCAGGAGAGGAGUCAGCAAGGUUGUCCAGGGAGGCCACACCAUCCACACCAGCUGCAUGUGCAGGGCGCACCACCCUGCCCGGGACAUCCUCCCACACCCGAGGGCUCAGCAGGUCCACUGCAACACUGCAGGGGUACCAAAACCAGCAGCUGGGGGCCCUGCGAGCCUUGCACCACACCAUGGAGCAGUGGGUGCAGAACGAAUGGGAGUUCCAGUGGAAGCUGCUUGCCCAGGGUCGUGCCAUCUGUGCCCAUCUGUAGACCCUGGUGCAGAGCGUGCUGCCUUGUGCUGCUCCAGCGCCUGCUGCCUCCCCAGUUCCCAUUCCUCCUUCCACUCCUUCUCCCCCUCCCGCCUCUCCCUCCUCAACCUCCACACCCUUCUCCUCAACCUCCACAACCCUACCUCAUCCUCCACACCCUCUUUCGCAUCCUCCCGGGGACACCGAGGCCCCUGCACCCGCCGUGCUGGGAGACAGUUGGCCGGGCGAGACCCCCACACCUAAGCUUCCUCUCCCCCUUCUUCCCCUUGCUUCCCCCUUCCAGCUCCCUCCUCCCAGU